GAUGAAGAACGCAGCGAAAUGCGAUAAGUAGUGUGAAUUGCAGAAUUCAGUGAAUCAUCGAAUCUUUGAACGCACAUUGCGCCCUUUGGUGUUCCUUAGGGCAUGCCUGUUCGAGCGUCAUUUGAAACCUCAAGCUCAGCUUGGUGUUGGGUGUCUGUCCCCGCCUCACCGCGGGGACUCGCCUCAAAAUCAUUGGCGGCCGGUACGUUGGCUUCGAGCGCAGCAGAAACGCGAACUCGAGGCCCGGCGGAUCGGCGACCAGAAGUCACUUCUUCACAGUUUGACCUCGGAUCAGGUAGGGAUACCCGCUGAACUUAAGCAUAUCAAUAAGCGGAGGA
Molecule: unclassified non-coding RNA, 338 nt
Filed under: soil metagenome
Description: partial contains 5.8S ribosomal RNA, internal transcribed spacer 2, and large subunit ribosomal RNA
Rfam family: 5.8S ribosomal RNA (bases 1-120)
Source: RNAcentral